GGAGGUAGUGACAAUAAAUCACAAUGCGGAACUUUUUAGUUUUGCAAUUGGAUUGAGAACAAUGUACAAAUGUUAUCGAUAAACAAUUGGAGGGCAAGUCUGGUGCCAGCAGCCGCGGUAAUUCCAGCUCCAAUAGCGUAUAUUAACGUUGUUGCAGUUAAAAAGCUCGUAGUUGAAAUGUGGGAUGAUUGUUAUGAUGAAUCUAUGUAUUCGAUUAUAAUAUGAAUCCCCUCUCCAAUUUAUUAUUAUGGGUAUUAAUUUAUUUGUAAUAAGAAUUGGUCAUUUACUGUGAGAAAAUUAGAGUGUUCAAAGCAGGCAUUUGCUUGAAUAGAUUAGCAUGGAAUAAUAGUAAAAGGCUUUUAUGGUGCUUAAUUGGUUUAAUCAUAGAAGCAAGAUUAAAAGGAACAGUUGGGGGUAUUCAUAUUCAAUAGUUAGAGGUGAAAUUCUCGGAUUUAUGGAAGAUGAACAAGUGCGAAAGCA
This 480-nucleotide ribosomal RNA is filed under the name Blastocystis sp. RNAcentral describes it as "SSU rRNA". It matches the Rfam family "Eukaryotic small subunit ribosomal RNA", at positions 460 to 953 of the family's 1831-position model. The record is from RNAcentral. RNAcentral also lists the same sequence under 1 other name. Lineage: Eukaryota; Bigyra; Opalinata; Blastocystidae.